This 465-nucleotide ribosomal RNA is filed under the name Vreelandella stevensii. RNAcentral describes it as "partial 16S ribosomal RNA". It matches the Rfam family "Bacterial small subunit ribosomal RNA", at positions 338 to 795 of the family's 1533-position model. The record is from RNAcentral. Lineage: Bacteria; Pseudomonadati; Pseudomonadota; Gammaproteobacteria; Oceanospirillales; Halomonadaceae.
CCUACGGGGGGCAGCAGUGGGGAAUAUUGGACAAUGGGGGGAACCCUGAUCCAGCCAUGCCGCGUGUGUGAAGAAGGCCCUCGGGUUGUAAAGCACUUUCAGUGAGGAAGAACGCCUGGUGGUUAAUACCCAUCAGGAAAGACAUCACUCACAGAAGAAGCACCGGCUAACUCCGUGCCAGCAGCCGCGGUAAUACGGAGGGUGCGAGCGUUAAUCGGAAUUACUGGGCGUAAAGCGCGCGUAGGUGGCUUGAUAAGCCGGUUGUGAAAGCCCCGGGCUCAACCUGGGAACGGCAUCCGGAACUGUCAAGCUAGAGUGCAGGAGAGGAAGGUAGAAUUCACGGUGUAGCGGUGAAAUGCGUAGAGAUCGGGAGGAAUACCAGUGGCGAAGGCGGCCUUCUGGACUAACACUGACACUGAGGUGCGAAAGCGUGGGUAGCAAACAGGAUUAGAUACCCCUGUAGUC